UCGUUAGAAAGGGGAUAUGAAAAUCUGUCCCGUGCCUAUCAGGCAUCAGAGUUUGAAACUAAACAAC
This 67-nucleotide non-coding RNA is filed under the name unclassified sequences. Its description in RNAcentral is "lysM-Prevotella RNA". It matches the Rfam family "lysM-Prevotella RNA". The record is from RNAcentral.